RNAcentral lists this unclassified non-coding RNA (333 nucleotides) under uncultured fungus. RNAcentral's name for it is "partial contains small subunit ribosomal RNA, internal transcribed spacer 1, and 5.8S ribosomal RNA". The stretch from base 1 to 73 matches the Rfam family "Eukaryotic small subunit ribosomal RNA", at positions 1759 to 1831 of the family's 1831-position model. Lineage: Eukaryota; Fungi. The record is from RNAcentral.
UCAAACUUGGUCAUUUAGAGGAAGUAAAAGUCGUAACAAGGUUUCCGUAGGUGAACCUGCGGAAGGAUCAUUAUUGAAUCCAUGAGGGGGGGGAGGGAGAGAGAAAGAAGGCAGUCGCUGGUCCUUGAUUUUGGGCAUGUGCACGCUUUUUUCUACAUCCCUUGCUUCUUUCAACUCACCUGUGCACUCACCGUAGGCUUCUUCGAGAGGAGGACCCUAUGUUUUACAUCACACCACGAGAAUGUUUAUAGAAUGUUUGAUUGAGUUGAAAUGUAAUAUUUUACAACUUUCAGCAACGGAUCUCUUGGCUCUCGCAUCGAUGAAGAACGCAGC